RNAcentral lists this ribosomal RNA (253 nucleotides) under uncultured bacterium. RNAcentral's name for it is "partial 16S ribosomal RNA". It matches the Rfam family "Bacterial small subunit ribosomal RNA", at positions 524 to 776 of the family's 1533-position model. The record is from RNAcentral.
UACGUAGGUGGCAAGCGUUGUCCGGAAUUAUUGGGCGUAAAGCGCGCGCAGGCGGUCCUUUAAGUCUGAUGUGAAAGCCCACGGCUCAACCGUGGAGGGUCAUUGGAAACUGGGGGACUUGAGUACAGAAGAGGAAAGCGGAAUUCCACGUGUAGCGGUGAAAUGCGUAGAGAUGUGGAGGAACACCAGUGGCGAAGGCGGCUUUCUGGUCUGUAACUGACGCUGAGGAGCGAAAGCGUGGGGAGCGAACAGG